GACGAACGCUGGCGGCGUGCUUAACACAUGCAAGUCGAGCGGUAAGGCUCCUUUGGGAGUACACGAGCGGCGAACGGGUGAGUAACACGUGAGCAAUCUGCCCUUCACUUCGGGAUAACUCCGGGAAACCGGUGCUAAUACCGAAUACGACCACUUCAGGCAUCUGAUGGUGGUGGAAAGUUCCGGCGGUGAAGGAUGAGCUCGCGGCCUAUCAGCUUGUUGGUGGGGUAAUGGCCCACCAAGGCAACGACGGGUAGCCGGCCUGAGAGGGUGACCGGCCGCACUGGGACUGAGACACGGCCCAGACUCCUACGGGAGGCAGCAGUGGGGAAUAUUGGACAAUGGGCGAAAGCCUGAUCCAGCAACGCCGCGUGAGGGAUGACGGCCU
RNAcentral lists this ribosomal RNA (388 nucleotides) under uncultured bacterium. Its description in RNAcentral is "bacterial SSU rRNA". It matches the Rfam family "Bacterial small subunit ribosomal RNA", at positions 28 to 417 of the family's 1533-position model. The record is from RNAcentral.